Molecule: ribosomal RNA, 1341 nt
Filed under: uncultured rumen bacterium
Lineage: Bacteria
Description: bacterial SSU rRNA
Rfam family: Bacterial small subunit ribosomal RNA
Source: RNAcentral
CAGGCCUAACACAUGCAAGUCGCGGGGCAGUAUGUUGGUUGCUUGCAACCGAUGAUGGCGACCGGCGCACGGGUGAGUAACGCGUAUCCAACCUUCCCCAUAGUAGGGUACAGCCCGGCGAAAGUCGGAUUAAUGCCCUAUGUUAUUCGUUGAGGACAUCUGAAGUGAAUCAAAGACUUGUCGCUGAGGGAUGGGGAUGCGUCUGAUUAGGUAGUCGGCGGGGUAACGGCCCACCUAGCCGACGAUCAGUAGGGGUUCUGAGAGGAAGGUCCCCCACAUUGGAACUGAGACACGGUCCAAACUCCUACGGGAGGCAGCAGUGAGGAAUAUUGGUCAAUGGCCGAGAGGCUGAACCAGCCAAGUAGCGUGCAGGAAGACGGCCCUAUGGGUUGUAAACUGCUUUUAUGCGGGGAUAAAGUUGGGCACGCGUGCCCAUUUGCAGGUACCGCAUGAAUAAGGACCGGCUAAUUCCGUGCCAGCAGCCGCGGUAAUACGGAAGGUCCGGGCGUUAUCCGGAUUUAUUGGGUUUAAAGGGAGCGCAGGCUGAUGAUUAAGCGUGACGUGAAAUGUAGCCGCUCAACGGCUGAACUGCGUCGCGAACUGGUUAUCUUGAGUGAGUUCGAUGUUGGCGGAAUUCGUGGUGUAGCGGUGAAAUGCUUAGAUAUCACGAAGAACUCCGAUUGCGAAGGCAGCCAACAAGGCCUUUACUGACGCUAAAGCUCGAAGGUGCGGGUAUCGAACAGGAUUAGAUACCCUGGUAGUCCGCACAGUAAACGAUGAAUACUUGCCUUCGGCGAUACAUUGUCGGAGGCAAAGCGAAAGCGAUAAGCCAUCCACCUGGGGAGUACGACCGCAAGGUUGAAACUCAAAGGAAUUGACGGGGGCCCGCACAAGCGGAGGAACAUGUGGUUUAAUUCGAUGAUACGCGAGGAACCUUACCCGGGCUCGAACGGCAGAGGAACAAUCCAGAGAUGGUGCGGCCCUUCGGGGCUUCUGUCGAGGUGCUGCAUGGUUGUCGUCAGCUCGUGCCGUGAGGUGUCGGCUCAAGUGCCAUAACGAGCGCAACCCUUGCCGUCAGUUACCAUCAAGUAGUGUUGGGGACUCUGGCGGGACUGCCACCGCAAGGUGUGAGGAAGGGGGGGAUGACGUCAAAUCAGCACGGCCCUUACGUCCGGGGCGACACACGUGUUACAAUGGCGGCCACAGAGGGGCACUACCUGGUGACAGGAUGGGAAUCUCGAAAAGCCGUCUCAGUCCGGAUCGGAGUCUGCAACCCGACUCCGUGAAGCUGGAUUCGCUAGUAAUCGCGCAUCAGCCAUGGCGCGGUGAAUACGUUCCCGG